This 204-nucleotide long non-coding RNA is filed under the name Lathyrus oleraceus (garden pea). Its description in RNAcentral is "Pisum sativum (pea) long non-coding RNA (PSAT_LNC012352)". Lineage: Eukaryota; Viridiplantae; Streptophyta; Magnoliopsida; Fabales; Fabaceae. The record is from RNAcentral.
GUUACUGCCUUGACUGAAGUUUAUGAUUCUGAUGAAGAAUCAAAUUAUGAAGAACUCGCUAUUGAGGAACUUGCCGAGUCAUACAAAGAAUUGUGCCUAAAAAGUGAAGAAGUGUGUUAACUAGGAGAAGAUCAAAAGAAAGUCAUUGCUCAACUAUAGGCUGAAAAAGUGGAGCAUAUGUUUAUCGUCUCUGUUGGAUGUGUU